GAGGAAAAGAAGAAGAUGACAGAGGAAUGGAAAAAAGAAUAGCAUAUGCAAAAUUAUUAAUUUGGUUCCGACUCUGUCACCUAAUUACAUCAGCUCUUGAAAAGCAGAGGAUGUUCUCUGAUUGGUGGUAGAAGUAGAAGUAAGAGAGAUUCAACCAUAAGAAAAAUUUUACAUGCCAUUGCUGAUGUUGAAGAUGGAAGGGCCAUGUGCAAGGACUGGAGCUGGGAGAGGCCCCCAGCUGACAACCAACAAGGAAGACCUCAGUCUUACAACCAUGAGGAACUGAAUUCUGCCAAUAACAGGAAUUGAAAGAAGAGCCCAAGGUCCAGAUGAUAAUGCAGCUAGCCACCACAUUGAUUUCAGCCUAUUGAGACCUUGAGAACCUAGUUAUACCACCUAGACUUCUGACCUCCAGAGCGGUGAGAUAAUAAAUGGGUAUUGUUUUAAGUUGCUAAGUUUGUGGUACUUUAUUAUAACUAAUACACUAGCACAUAGAACUCUGUGCACGGUAGUCAUUCCUCUUUUAGGAACAAGAAAAUUUCAGCUAAUUGAAGAUUUACUAUCUAACCAAAAUAUACAACUACUGGAUAACUAAGAAAAUGCUAGAUG
RNAcentral lists this long non-coding RNA (609 nucleotides) under Homo sapiens (human). RNAcentral describes it as "HSALNT0143905". The record is from RNAcentral. Lineage: Eukaryota; Metazoa; Chordata; Mammalia; Primates; Hominidae.